Molecule: ribosomal RNA, 445 nt
Filed under: uncultured bacterium
Lineage: Bacteria
Description: partial 16S ribosomal RNA
Rfam family: Bacterial small subunit ribosomal RNA
Source: RNAcentral
GUGAGGAAUAUUGGUCAAUGGGCGGGAGCCUGAACCAGCCAAGUCGCGUGAAGGAAGAAGGAUCUAUGGUUCGUAAACUUCUUUUGCAGGGGAAUAAAGUGCAGGACGUGUUCUGUUUUGUAUGUACCCUGAGAAUAAGGAUCGGCUAACUCCGUGCCAGCAGCCGCGGUAAUACGGAGGAUCCGAGCGUUAUCCGGAUUUAUUGGGUUUAAAGGGUGCGUAGGUGGUUUGAUAAGUCAGCGGUGAAAGUUUGCAGCUUAACUGUAAAAAUGCCGUUGAAACUGUCGGACUUGAGUGUAAAUGAGGUAGGCGGAAUGCGUGGUGUAGCGGUGAAAUGCAUAGAUAUCACGCAGAACUCCGAUUGCGAAGGCAGCUUACUAAGCUACAACUGACACUGAAGCACGAAAGCGUGGGGAUCAAACAGGAUUAGAUACCCGAGUAGUCC